GUAUUUCCUAUACUCAGGUGUUAAUGCACGAUGAUUUUUGAUAUCAUUAGUUUCAGCUAAUCGGCUGAGGAAUAUA
Molecule: transfer RNA, 76 nt
Filed under: Hackeriella veitchi
Lineage: Eukaryota; Metazoa; Arthropoda; Insecta; Hemiptera; Peloridiidae
Description: tRNA-Gln
Source: RNAcentral